Molecule: ribosomal RNA, 253 nt
Filed under: uncultured bacterium
Lineage: Bacteria
Description: partial 16S ribosomal RNA
Rfam family: Bacterial small subunit ribosomal RNA
Source: RNAcentral
UACGGAGGAUGCAAGCGUUAUCCGGAAUGAUUGGGCGUAAAGCGUCCGCAGGUGGCUGUGUAAGUCUGCUGUUAAAGAGUCUAGCUCAACUAGAUACAAGCAGUGGAAACUACACAGCUAGAGUACGUUCGGGGCAGAGGGAAUUCCUGGUGUAGCGGUGAAAUGCGUAGAGAUCAGGAAGAACACCGGUGGCGAAGGCGCUCUGCUAGGCCGUAACUGACACUGAGGGACGAAAGCUAGGGGAGCGAAUGGG